CUACCUAUGGCAACAAGCAGCACAGUCACUCCUGAAUGAUCUUUCCUGUACUGUACUGUGUUUAGAUGCUACAUACCUCUCCCAUCAUCACCUUAGUUUUCUGGGGAACGUUGCACAAUGAAAGUGAUUGGAAGAGAGUUGGAGCACAAGGCACACAAGACUCUUCACAAAGUGUCUGUUCAGAUGUCCUGUUCUAGGUAUCAGAGGGCCCAAGGAUAACAUCCAGAUAAUCAAAAGUCUACACCAAGCAAAAAGCAUCUGGCCGAGUCCAACUGGAGAACAAGUAAAUCAGGACUAGGCUUGAAACCUAGUUAUCAAUAAAAUAUUUCAACAUCCUUUUCUGCAAACUCAAAAAUCUUCAGAGUGGUCUACUCCUUGGUGGCCAGGAAGCUCUGAAUCUUCAUCAAGGGAGGACCAGUCCACUAAGAAUAUGGGUUUCUCAAGACUUGGCUCUGAACAGGAACUUCAAGCUUUCAAUAUAAUUACAGUUUGUGUCAAAUUGUGAUCAAGUACAAUUGACUUUUGCCAGGAAAAUCCAAACGUGCUAGUAGCCAAAAUGGGGACUCUGAAAAGGUCUAAUUGUCAGCAGUUUUCCCACACUGGAGGUGCCAGCUUCAGAACUUGAGGAGUCCUGAGGGAAGCAUCCUCAACGGCUCCCAUGAAAGAGAACCAGCAAGCCAGCAAAACAGUCUCUCACACUAUCUUGGACAUUCCUGGGCGCUCUGUGGAUCUUGAGAAUGAUGAGUCUGAAGUAAAUGUGGGUCAGAGGUUGGAUCGGACAGGGAUACUUUUUUUAAACUACAGCUCCCAGAAUUCCUUCCACCAGCAUUACCAUUUUGAUAGGGGGAUGAUGGGAAAGGUAAUCCAAACAUGUAACAUUUUUCAAACUCUGCUGUCUGCCGUGGUAUCCUCUGCAGCCAAUCUUAAAAGGUUUAUUUUCAGAGUAUAUAUUUAUAGAUUUUACACGGGGAUAGCAAGAAGAAAUUCCCCUCCUUCCUUUCUCCUAUGAUACUACUCAACAAUAUCACCAGCAGGUCCAGAACCUCCAAAAAGAAGCACUGAUUCACCCAAUGCACAGGUGGCUGAUUGAAUUCUCUUCCACUGGCAAUGGGCACCAGGAUGGCUUUUAGCAGUUUUUACUCAAAAUGAAAUACAAAAGUCAUGGUGAAGAUUCUUUUCCAUAGGUUCAGUCAAUAGUCCCAUAGUCACUUUGAGAUGCCUACAACCAUACAGUCAGGGCAUAUCAUGGGGAAUGCUCUAAAAUCAUGAGAACC
Molecule: non-coding RNA, 1274 nt
Organism: Pogona vitticeps (central bearded dragon)
Lineage: Eukaryota; Metazoa; Chordata; Lepidosauria; Squamata; Agamidae
Source: RefSeq, a predicted model, not a curated record